Molecule: long non-coding RNA, 4192 nt
Organism: Mus musculus (house mouse)
Lineage: Eukaryota; Metazoa; Chordata; Mammalia; Rodentia; Muridae
Product: predicted gene 15722
Exons: 2
Source: RefSeq, a predicted model, not a curated record
CUCCCUGUAAGAGGAUGAAUGAAGCACAUCACUAGCUGCCCGUUGUCUGCUGCCCCCAACCCCGCCGCUGCCGCCGCCAUGUUUGGUCCCAGCCCUAUAUUGAGGCUGAUGGUGAGCACUUAGCUCUACAAUGAAUGGCCAGAUCUGAUCAGACCAGACAUCACCCAACCAUGGAUGACCUGGCCAGCUGCUGAGGUUCCUUCUGUGCAAAGUCCUACGGAAGGAAGCAGAAGGAAGCCCCAAGGAUGGAUCCCGGUCAUACAGAUGGUCUAGCGUGGGUCACCACAUUGUAACAGAUUUAAGGGUAUGGGAUAACUAGAGCUGAGAAAGAAAAAGGUUGACCGCUCUCUAAAAUGCUCAGUCAGGACUGAAGGCUAGUCUUAUUGCAAUACUGCCUACCGCCCGCAAAAGCACCACAGCUGGGUCUCAGCAUCACUUCUGCCUCUACAGAGUCCCUGCAGGCCCACUGGGACCUGUGGAAAAAUGGGCAGGGACUGACGCCAUCAUCCUUUUGUCUGCCCAACUUUCCCCCUUCACCUUCUAACACUGGCUUGGCCUUGGAGGCUUGGCUCCUAAAACCGAGUCCUGCCAGAAAUAGACUCAGAAGUUGGGCAAAGGCCUUGUCCCACGUCCCACGUCCCACGACACACUGUGUGCUGCAUGCAAAGCUCAUGUAAAUUAACAGACAAUGAGUACCAAAUGAUGGGCACCCCCUGGAAGCUUGUUCUCCACCCUUCUAUCCUAACUGGACCAGGAGAGCCAUGGGAACCCUCAAGAUUCCCCCUGCAGGGGGAGAGGCUGUUUUUCCACUGGGUCCAGCUGGCCUCAUAGCAGGGCUGGCUCCUAUCCUACAACUCCAGGUCUAAGGCUGCAGAGCAGGAUCCACAGGCUGCCCUUCCCACAGAUGCUGCCCUGACAUCUUUUAAGAGCCUCAGGGAGCAAGCACAAUGAUACGCCCCCGGGUUCCAGCCUGCUCUGUGCUCACCGCCUCUCCGAGAUGCGACAUCAAUCUCCGAAACAGAAAUGAUCUCCCAAGCAGGCCAAAGUAUUCUGGGAAUUCAAGAUGACACAUGCUGAGGGCCUGACCCCAGGCCUGGGCUUAGGCCCAGUCAACCACAGGAUUGUUUUCACACAAGGAAAAUCGGGGGAGUGAACUGAGUUGGCCUCUGUGCAGCAAGGCGGGAAGAGCUUCCUGUUUGGUGCAGGAGCACGGAAGCCCUCGGUGGACAGAUAAAUCACAGCCUGGACAUAGUCUUGCGACAGACAAGCCUGCCUGCCCCCAAGGCUCCUUCCUGCUCUCCUUGUCAGGAAGGCCCUCUCUCAGCAAGGCUCACUAAUGAUGGAACCCGAAUAGCCAGCCCUGUUCCUGCUGCUAGAGGCUGCAGAACAAGGAAGGUGGGGGGACUGCCAAGAUGCCGAGGCAAUGGGCACCCGGAUGCCGGAGCACAUGCCCCCGGGUGGGCACAGGCUACCUACAGGCUGAGCUGAGUAGUAAGCAUGCUUUUACGUGGAGCUCUUGGCUCUCCGAGGGUUCCCUCAAGAGGCUUCCCCUGUCUAAGAUUCUGCAGCUCCUCGGAACCAGGGCCAGCUUCCCCAUUAAGCUUCAGCAAGCAAAUGAGAAGAGGGAACAAAGGCAGCCCAGCAUCAAGCCUGCCCCGACCUGAAUGGGAGCAUGGGAGGCCGACUACCACGGGCGUUCAGGCUCCCCGCCUCCUGCCCAGCUUCGCACACAGGGUCCUGUUGAGCUGUUCACACGGGCACUGAAGGGAAAACCAGGAUAUGUAGAUUUCCCCCCAAGUAAGGGGAACCAGGAGGCCUCCUCCCAGCCCCACUGUUCUCCUUUGGGUCUCCCCUAGGACCCUUAAAAAGGUGAACUCUUCAAGCUUCAGAGGGGAAGGACCAAAACCUAAGCUACCAGAGUUAGCUUCUGACUUUGCCAGCAAACAUGCCCCAGACACCUACAUCUGCCACACCCAUGUAAGCAUCCCCUGCCGGCUGGAACCCUCCCCAGGGUGACCACAUGUCAACAAGAGGUACAAAAACCCUAUUUGCAGAUGAACAUGAACUCGGAGGACACUGUUCAACUCCAUACAACCUGAUUUAUAGAGGAGGAUGCCUGGGCCAAGGCCGCCUGGGGCUCCCCACCCUCCAGGGCUGGGCCUCCAUGAUGAAAGCGGGGCAUCGCCCACCAAGCCAACACUGUGUUUGAGCCUUGCCUGCAGCCUUGAUUGCAGCUGUGUAUAUAUAUAUAUAUAUAUGUAUGUAUGUAUAUAUAUAUAUAUAUAAAAUCUCCUCCACGGACUUCUCCAGGCCUCCCCGUGUCCAACUGACCACUGUCCCCAGGCCAUGGAAAGAAGUGACUCACCAGUCUGUAGCCUGGCUGCUAUGCCCACAGCAGGUCCUUUGCCUGCAUCCACGGGAGCCCUGUACACCCCCAGCACCCUGCCCCACCCCCACCAGAACUCUCUGUAGCUACCUCACAUCUUUCCCCCUUGUGCUGUCAAGGUCUGUGUGGUGGCCCUUCCUGAGAGGGGACAAUUCCUUUGCUGGUUCCCUUGGUGCCACUGGGUCCUCACGUGGGCGCUGCGCUCCUCCUCAGACAUCUCCCUGGGCUAUCCCAGGCUCUGCUGCCUUGACCAACUAACAUGGAGGGGAGUGUGUUUCUCUCUCCGGAUCAAGACUGCGCCAUAUAAGCAGGUGUCACCAGGAACUCAGUGCCCCCCAGUAAGUCAUAGACUCCCUCGAGGCAGGGACAGACACGCAGAUGAGUGCGAUCCACCAUGCCAUCAGCCGUGAGGUCGGUUGGACCAUCACUGUACCUCUGUCUGGAAGGAGGCUUGCUUAAACACACUCCCAGCUACAACUGGUCAGGGGCACGUUUCAAGGACACAGUGACUGUCAGGCUCAGAGCUGGUGUGGCACCAAAGGCUCCGAGUGGGUGGUGCCGGCUACCCAGGUUUUGAGGAUCCGGGAUCUGCAGGCCCUAGCAGGGCAGGACAGUGGGUGCUCUCUGCUCUCCAGGCUCCCCCAGCUCAGGUGGCCUGCUGCCAGUCUCCCAGCCCCUUUCUGCAAAUGUGCCCUGGAGUGCCACCGCACACAGCGCUGGAAAGCCAGCUGAAUGGCUCCCAGACACACAAAGGAGUCAGUGUGUGAGAAACCCCGGACUUGGGAACCACAAAGGGCUUUAUUUCCCUUUCUAAGCUCAAGACUUAAAAAAAUAAAAAAAAUCAAAGCGGCUGCCAGCCUUAGCCCUGGGCCCAGGGAUAGCACUGGCUCACCUUCCCUCAGCCGAAAACUCCCCUUUGAAUUCAAAGUUGGACUUAGGAGACACACCAGCCUGUAACCCACGACCCACAAGCUGAAACACAGCUUCGGUCUUCAGCCCUCCUCAUCGGGUAGCUCUCCCACAGAUCCCCAGAUAAGCCACAUCCUCUUUCCCACUGGACGUUAACCCCUGCUCCUGCCUCACAAUCCCACGGGUCCCCAGCUGCCAAGCAAAACUGAGCUGCCUGGCCCUUGGCCAAAGCCGUCUUCUUGGGAAGGUGGCCCCUAAGCCUCAAGGACAUGAAGGGGGUUAGCCUUCCCAUGGUCAGGCGGCCACAUCAGAAGAUGUUGUGAAACUCUAUCCCCUGGGUGGAGCCUUCAUUAUCAUCUUCAGCAGAGUGGCUGGGAGGACUUGCAAGAGACCCUUCGCUCACCUUCCCUCUCAGAAGAAGGUGGAGAGGGUCACUUGAGUGACCCUCUCUGCACACAUCUCUAGCUGUAAGUGAUUCUGCCCAAGCAGCACGUGAUCCUGUAGUCUGUGGCCGCGUAUACAAAGUAAGGAUGCUUAACUGAGAGGAAAACUCCUUUUAUGCAGCCAUGGAGAAACAGCCAUCCAUCUAUGCUGGGUUCAAUUCCUAACACCCACACUGUAACUGCAGUCCUGGGAGGAUCGAACGCCCUCUUCUGGCUUCUAGAGGCACUGCAGGGACAGGGUGAAUGGAUAUCUAUACAGGUAAAAACACUCAUACACAGAAAAUUAAAGCAAUGAUAAGACCAAGCACAAAAUGCCUCUGCUUGUAUUCAAGCUUCUGGCUCACGGGUACUUUUUGGUGACAUGUUCCCUUGGAGGUCACCCACAUACCCUUGCAGGCAGCGCCCCUCCCCCACACUCUCCAAGUAAGACCAAUAAACGCAUCGGUUCACCAGA